This 552-nucleotide ribosomal RNA is filed under the name Cynops pyrrhogaster (Japanese firebelly newt). Its description in RNAcentral is "partial 16S ribosomal RNA". It matches the Rfam family "Bacterial large subunit ribosomal RNA", at positions 1816 to 2597 of the family's 2925-position model. Lineage: Eukaryota; Metazoa; Chordata; Amphibia; Caudata; Salamandridae. The record is from RNAcentral.
CGCCUCUUGCCUCCCAAGUAUAAGAGGUCCCGCCUGCCCAGUGAUUAAUUUUAACGGCCGCGGUAUCAUGACCGUGCAAAGGUAGCGUAAUCACUUGUCUCUUAAAUAGAGACCUGUAUGAAAGGCAAAACGAAAGCUCAACUGUCUCUUUAAUUUAAUCAGUGAAAUUAAUCUCUCCGUGCAGAAGCGAAGAUAAUUAUAUAAGACGAGAAGACCCUAUGGAGCUUUAAAUGUAAAAUUAAUUAUAUAUUUACACCAGCCAACAGGUAUAAAAUAAAAACAUAUGAUUAUAAUUUAAAUUUUCGGUUGGGGCGACCACGGAAGAAAAAAUAUCCUCCGAGAUAAGUAAUUUAGAAUUACAUUUCAAAAAUUAAAACAUUUAUUAUAAAUGAUCCACCAAGUGACCAACGAACCAAGUUACCCUAGGGAUAACAGCGCAAUCUUUUCUAAGAGUUCAUAUCGACGAAUGGGUUUACGACCUCGAUGUUGGAUCAGGACACCCCAAUGGUGCAGCAGCUAUUAAAGGUUCGUUUGUUCAACGAUUAAAGUCCU